GACGAACGCUGGCGGCGUGCUUAACACAUGCAAGUCGAACGGAAAGGCCCUGCUUUUGUGGGGUGCUCGAGUGGCGAACGGGUGAGUAACACGUGAGUAACCUGCCCUUGACUUUGGGAUAACUUCAGGAAACUGGGGCUAAUACCGGAUAGGAGCUCCUGCUGCAUGGUGGGGGUUGGAAAGUUUCGGCGGUUGGGGAUGGACUCGCGGCUUAUCAGCUUGUUGGUGGGGUAGUGGCUUACCAAGGCUUUGACGGGUAGCCGGCCUGAGAGGGUGACCGACCACAUUGGGACUGAGAUACGGCCCAGACUCCUACGGGAGGCAGCAGUGGGGAAUAUUGCACAAUGGGCGGAAGCCUGAUGCAGCAACGCCGCGUGCGGGAUGACGGCCUUCGGGUUGUAAACCGCUUUCGCCUGUGACGAAGCGUGAGUGACGGUAAUGGGUAAAGAAGCACCGGCUAACUACGUGCCAGCAGCCGCGGUGAUACGUAGGGUGCGAGCGUUGUCCGGAUUUAUUGGGCGUAAAGGGCUCGUAGGUGGUUGAUCGCGUCGGAAGUGUAAUCUUGGGGCUUAACCCUGAGCGUGCUUUCGAUACGGGUUGACUUGAGGAAGGUAGGGGAGAAUGGAAUUCCUGGUGGAGCGGUGGAAUGCGCAGAUAUCAGGAGGAACACCAGUGGCGAAGGCGGUUCUCUGGGCCUUUCCUGACGCUGAGGAGCGAAAGCGUGGGGAGCGAACAGGCUUAGAUACCCUGGUAGUCCACGCUGUAAACGGUGGGUACUAGGUGUGGGGUCCAUUCCACGGGUUCCGUGCCGUAGCUAACGCUUUAAGUACCCCGCCUGGGGAGUACGGCCGCAAGGCUAAAACUCAAAGGAAUUGACGGGGCCCCGCACAAGCGGCGGAGCAUGCGGAUUAAUUCGAUGCAACGCGUAGAACCUUACCUGGGUUUGACAUGGAUCGGGAGUGCUCAGAGAUGGGUGUGCCUCUUUUGGGGUCGGUUCACAGGUGGUGCAUGGCUGUCGUCAGCUCGUGUCGUGAGAUGUUGGGUUAAGUCCCGCAACGAGCGCAACCCUUGUUCACUGUUGCCAGCACGUUAUGGUGGGGACUCAGUGGAGACCGCCGGGGUCAACUCGGAGGAAGGUGGGGAUGACGUCAAGUCAUCAUGCCCCUUAUGUCCAGGGCUUCACGCAUGCUACAAUGGCUGGUACAGAGAGUGGCGAGCCUGUGAGGGUGAGCGAAUCUCGGAAAGUCGGUCUCAGUUCGGAUUGGGGUCUGCAACUCGACCUCAUGAAGUCGGAGUCGCUAGUAAUCGCAGAUCAGCAACGCUGCGGUGAAUACGUUCCCGGGGCU
RNAcentral lists this ribosomal RNA (1346 nucleotides) under uncultured bacterium. RNAcentral's name for it is "partial 16S ribosomal RNA". It matches the Rfam family "Bacterial small subunit ribosomal RNA", at positions 28 to 1381 of the family's 1533-position model. The record is from RNAcentral.